This 301-nucleotide ribosomal RNA is filed under the name uncultured bacterium. Its description in RNAcentral is "partial 16S ribosomal RNA". It matches the Rfam family "Bacterial small subunit ribosomal RNA", at positions 509 to 809 of the family's 1533-position model. The record is from RNAcentral.
CAGUAGCCACGGUAAUGCGAAGGGGGCUAGCGUUGUUCGGAUUUACUGGGCGUAAAGGGCGCGUAGGCGGGCGAAUAAGUCAGGGGUGAAAUCCCAAGGCUCAACCUUGGAACUGCAUUUGAUACUGUUUGUCCUGAGUUCGAGAGAGGUAAGUGGAACUGCGAGUGUAGAAGUGAAAUUCGUAGAUAUUCGCAAGAACACCAGUGGCGAAGGCGGCUUACUGGCUCGAAACUGACGCUGAGGCGCGAAAGCGUGAGGAGCAAACAGGAUUAGAUACCCCUGUAGUCCCUGUCUCUUAUAA